UAAGGAUUCAAAAAGGGUUGCAACUGCCCGCAACAAGACCAGCUCGUCGGGAUCAGAGAUGUGCAGCGGAAGGAUGAAAAAUGAAACACCAGUAGUUUUGCUACACUGUGGGAAACAGGAUCAUGUGGAGACUACGAAAGCCAGAGAUUCCAAAUGAAAUGUUGUCCAUAGGAGCGAGAACAACAUGUGGAACAGCGAGGACUAGUGGAGGACACGACACCUACUGUACUCCACGGUGCACUGAAGCGCAGGGCAACAAAAAUACCUGGCCUGUGUGCAAAAGAGGACUGAGAACACUCCAGCAGACCACUGACAGGAGAGAAGACGGGACUGUGGAGGCGCCGCCUUUCCAUGAAACCUGGAACCACUUCUAGAUCCUCACAGCUGCUGGGGCAGACCUGUUUGAACCACCCUCAGCCACCGACACUUCCUGUUGUUGUUCCUGGUUGUUCCCUGGAGUUCGGUGAGUCUCUCUCAUUUUCUUGUUGCCUCCAGUUUCUUCUAGAAACGUGGACGUUACUUUAAUAGCAUCAUCAUUUAGAAUUAUUCAAAACAGCUCGACUGUCAUUAUUACCCCCUAUUGGCCACAUUAUUCAUAGGGUGACACUUUCCCUAACCUUUGCGGGUUCCAUUCAUUGGUUAUUAAAACAAAAUUAUAUGAAAAAAGAGAAUAAUUCUUUAAUUUCCCACUGUUCAUCCAAGGGAUAUGUUUUUUUCACGCACUAGUGACUUUUUACAGCUGUCAUUCCCUAAGAGAAUAACACAUUUGUGAUUCUCAACAUGAACAUUUAAAUAUAGUAUAUAAUCACAUUGCAGUAACACAUUGUAACAUUGCACUGGAAGGGAUGAAUGAGUUAUUUUGAACAAAAAUGUGUUUCCCAAAGGCCACGAAGCUGGGAUAUCCAGACUGGAAAAGCAUUGUAAACAAAACAAGGCUGUAGUCCAACAACCAUUAUAAAAACCUGGUAUCCACUAUCUUAAAGUGGAUUUCUUCACAUAUAGAAAACACCUAGCAAAGAUCUAGUGUACAAAAAGUGUAGGAAAAGUAUCAGUUUGAAAUUGAAGAGCAGUCACCAAAAAUAACAGAGGUAAAGGCAGCAAAAAACAAACAAACAAACAAACA
This is a long non-coding RNA of Cynoglossus semilaevis (tongue sole), 1123 nucleotides long. RefSeq lists it as uncharacterized. The transcript is spliced from 5 exons. The record is from RefSeq and is a predicted model, not a curated record. Lineage: Eukaryota; Metazoa; Chordata; Actinopteri; Pleuronectiformes; Cynoglossidae.